This 492-nucleotide ribosomal RNA is filed under the name uncultured bacterium. RNAcentral describes it as "partial 16S ribosomal RNA". It matches the Rfam family "Bacterial small subunit ribosomal RNA", at positions 29 to 507 of the family's 1533-position model. The record is from RNAcentral.
AGUGAACGCUGGCGGUAGGCCUAACACAUGCAAGUCGAACGGCAGCACAGUAAGAGCUUGCUCUUACGGGUGGCGAGUGGCGGACGGGUGAGGAAUACAUCGGAAUCUACUUUUUCGUGGGGGAUAACGUAGGGAAACUUACGCUAAUACCGCAUACGACCUACGGGUGAAAGCAUGGGAUCUUCGGACCUUGCGCGAUUGAAUGAGCCGAUGUCGGAUUAGCUAGUUGGCGGGGUAAGGGCCCACCAAGGCGACGAUCCGUAGCUGGUCUGAGAGGAUGAUCAGCCACACUGGAACUGAGACACGGUCCAGACUCCUACGGGAGGCAGCAGUGGGGAAUAUUGGACAAUGGGCGCAAGCCUGAUCCAGCCAUACCGCGUGGGUGAAGAAGGCCUUCGGGUUGUAAAGCCCUUUUGUUGGGGAAGAAAAGCAGCAGGUUAAUACCCCGCUGUUCUGACGGUACCCAAAGAAUAAGCACCGGCUAACUUCGUG